RNAcentral lists this ribosomal RNA (226 nucleotides) under uncultured bacterium. RNAcentral describes it as "partial 16S ribosomal RNA". It matches the Rfam family "Bacterial small subunit ribosomal RNA", at positions 538 to 763 of the family's 1533-position model. The record is from RNAcentral.
GCGUUGUUCGGAUUAACUGGGCGUAAAGGGCGCGUAGGCGGGUCUUUAAGUCAGGGGUGAAAUCCCAAGGCUCAACCUUGGAACUGCCUUUGAUACUGGAGAUCUUGAGUCCGGGAGAGGUGAGUGGAACUGCGAGUGUAGAGGUGAAAUUCGUAGAUAUUCGCAAGAACACCAGUGGCGAAGGCGGCUCACUGGCCCGGUACUGACGCUGAGGCGCGAAAGCGUG